AGCGAACGCUGGCGGCAGGCCUAACACAUGCAAGUCGAACGAACUCUUCGGAGUUAGUGGCGGACGGGUGAGUAACACGUGGGAACGUGCCUUUAGGUUCGGAAUAACUCAGGGAAACUCGUGCUAAUACCGAAUGUGCCCUUCGGGGGAAAGAUUUAUCGCCUUUAGAGCGGCCCGCGUCUGAUUAGCUAGUUGGUGAGGUAAAGGCUCACCAAGGCGACGAUCAGUAGCUGGUCUGAGAGGAUGAUCAGCCACAUUGGGACUGAGACACGGCCCAAACUCCUACGGGAGGCAGCAGUGGGGAAUCUUGCGCAAUGGGCGAAAGCCUGACGCAGCCAUGCCGCGUGAAUGAUGAAGGUCUUAGGAUUGUAAAAUUCUUUCACCGGGGACGAUAAUGACGGUACCCGGAGAAGAAGCCCCGGCUAACUUCGUG
This 433-nucleotide ribosomal RNA is filed under the name uncultured bacterium. RNAcentral describes it as "partial 16S ribosomal RNA". It matches the Rfam family "Bacterial small subunit ribosomal RNA", at positions 29 to 507 of the family's 1533-position model. The record is from RNAcentral.